UGCCAGCCGCCGCGGUAACACGGGGGGCGCAAGCGUUAUUCGGAAUUAUUGGGCGUAAAGGGCGCGUAGGCGGUCUUGUCGGUCAGAUGUGAAAGCCCAGGGCUCAACCCUGGAAGUGCAUUGGAAACUGGCGAACUUGAGUACGGGAGAGGAAAGUGGAAUUCCGAGUGUAGGGGUGAAAUCCGUAGAUAUUCGGAGGAACACCAGUGGCGAAGGCGGCUCACUGGACCGAUACUGACGCUGAGGAGCGAAAGCGUGGGGAGCAAACAGGAUUAGAUA
Molecule: ribosomal RNA, 279 nt
Filed under: uncultured bacterium
Lineage: Bacteria
Description: partial 16S ribosomal RNA
Rfam family: Bacterial small subunit ribosomal RNA
Source: RNAcentral